UGCGUAGGCGGACUAAUAAGUCAGUGGUUAAAUCUCUCGGCUCAACCGGGAAACUGCCAUUGAUACUGUUAGUCUUGAGUUCGGUUGAGGUAGGCGGAAUGUGUAAUGUAGCGGUGAAAUGCUUAGAUAUUACACAGAACACCAAUUGCGUAGGCAGCUUACUAGACCGACACUGACGCUGAGGCACGAAAGCGUGGGUAGCGAACAGGAUUAGAUACCCUGGUAGUCC
Molecule: ribosomal RNA, 229 nt
Filed under: uncultured bacterium
Lineage: Bacteria
Description: partial 16S ribosomal RNA
Rfam family: Bacterial small subunit ribosomal RNA
Source: RNAcentral